GACGAACGCUGGCGGCGUGCUUAACACAUGCAAGUCGAACGGUGAAGCGCCUUCCUUUUUGGUGGGUGUGGAUGAGUGGCGAACGGGUGAGUAACACGUGAGUAACCUGCCCCCUUCUUCUGGAUAACCGCAUGAAAGUGUGGCUAAUACGGGAUAUUCUGGGUCUGUCGCAUGAUGGGUCUGGGAAAGAUAUUGUUUCGGUGGGGGAUGGGCUCGCGGCCUAUCAGCUUGUUGGUGGGGUGAUGGCCUACCAAGGCGGUGACGGGUAGCCGGCCUGAGAGGGUGGACGGUCACACUGGGACUGAGACACGGCCCAGACUCCUACGGGAGGCAGCAGUGGGGAAUAUUGCACAAUGGGCGCAAGCCUGAUGCAGCGACGCCGCGUGAGGGAUGGAGGCCUUCAGGUUGUGAACCUCUUUCGCCAGUGAAGCAGGCCUGCCUCGUUUGUGGGUGGGUUGACGGUAGCUGGAUAAGAAGCGCCGGCUAACUACGU
This 493-nucleotide ribosomal RNA is filed under the name uncultured bacterium. RNAcentral's name for it is "partial 16S ribosomal RNA". It matches the Rfam family "Bacterial small subunit ribosomal RNA", at positions 28 to 506 of the family's 1533-position model. The record is from RNAcentral.